RNAcentral lists this ribosomal RNA (500 nucleotides) under uncultured Glomeromycotina. Its description in RNAcentral is "partial small subunit ribosomal RNA". It matches the Rfam family "Eukaryotic small subunit ribosomal RNA", at positions 591 to 1092 of the family's 1831-position model. Lineage: Eukaryota; Fungi; Glomeromycota. The record is from RNAcentral.
CCAAUAGCGUAUAUUAAAGUUGUUGCAGUUAAAAAGCUCGUAGUUGAAUUUCGGGAUCAGUAGGUCGGUCGUGCCACAGGUAUGCACUGGUCUCACUGGUUCCUCCUUCCUGAUGAACCGUAAUGCCAUUAAUUUGGUGUUGCGGGGAAACUGGACUGUUACUUUGAAAAAAUUAGAGUGUUUAAAGCAGGCUAACGCUUGAAUACAUUAGCAUGGAAUAAUGAAAUAGGACGUUCGAUCCUAUUUUGUUGGUUUCUAGGAUUGACGUAAUGAUUAAUAGGGAUAGUUGGGGGCAUUAGUAUUCAAUUGUCAGAGGUGAAAUUCUUGGAUUUAUUGAAGACUAACUACUGCGAAAGCAUUUGCCAAGGAUGUUUUCAUUAAUCAAGAACGAAAGUUAGGGGAUCGAAGACGAUCAGAUACCGUCGUAGUCUUAACCAUAAACUAUGCCGACUAGGGAUCGGAUGAUGUUAAUUUUUUAAUGACUCAUUCGGCGCCUUACG